Molecule: ribosomal RNA, 373 nt
Filed under: uncultured organism
Description: bacterial SSU rRNA
Rfam family: Bacterial small subunit ribosomal RNA
Source: RNAcentral
CGUAGGGUGCAAGCGUUGUCCGGAAUUAUUGGGCGUAAAGAGCUCGUAGGUGGUUUGUCGCGUCUGCUGUGAAAACUGGAGGCUCAACCUCCAGCCUGCAGUGGGUACGGGUAGACUAGAGUGCGGUAGGGGAGAUUGGAAUUCCUGGUGUAGCGGUGGAAUGCGCAGAUAUCAGGAGGAACACCGAUGGCGAAGGCAGAUCUCUGGGCCGUAACUGAUGCUGAGGAGCGAAAGCGUGGGGAGCGAACAGGAUUAGAUACCCUGGUAGUCCACGCCGUAAACGUUGGGAAUUAGAUGUGGGGUCCAUUCCACGGAUUCCGUGUCGCAGCUAACGCAUUAAGUUCCCCGCCUGGGGAGUACGGCCGCAAGGCUA